This 460-nucleotide ribosomal RNA is filed under the name uncultured bacterium. RNAcentral's name for it is "partial 16S ribosomal RNA". It matches the Rfam family "Bacterial small subunit ribosomal RNA", at positions 338 to 795 of the family's 1533-position model. The record is from RNAcentral.
CCUACGGGGGGCAGCAGUGAGGAAUAUUGGUCAAUGGGCGCGAGCCUGAACCAGCCAAGUCGCGUGAGGGAAGACGGCCCUACGGGUUGUAAACCUCUUUUGCCGGGGAGCAACGGGCGCCACGUGUGGCGCCACUGAGAGUACCCGGAGAAAAAGCAUCGGCUAACACCGUGCCAGCAGCCGCGGUAAUACGGAGGAUGCGAGCGUUAUCCGGAUUUAUUGGGUUAAAGGGGUGCGUAGGCGGGGCGUUAGUUCAGUGGUCAAAUUGAGGGGCUCAACCCCUUCCCGCCAUUGAUACUGGCGCUCUUGAGUGGAAGUGAGGUAUGCGGAAUGCGUGGUGUAGCGGUGAAAUGCAUAGAGAUCACGCAGAACCCCGAUUGCGAAGGCAGCAUGCCGGCUUCCGACUGACGCUGAAGCACGAAAGCGUGGGGAUCGAACAGGAUUAGAUACCCGGGUAGUC